RNAcentral lists this ribosomal RNA (492 nucleotides) under uncultured bacterium. RNAcentral's name for it is "partial 16S ribosomal RNA". It matches the Rfam family "Bacterial small subunit ribosomal RNA", at positions 29 to 507 of the family's 1533-position model. The record is from RNAcentral.
AGUGAACGCUGGCGGUAGGCCUAACACAUGCAAGUCGAACGGCAGCACAGUAAGAGCUUGCUCUUACGGGUGGCGAGUGGCGUACGGGUGAGGAAUACAUCGGAAUCUACUUUUUCGUGGGGGAUCACGUAGGGAAACUUACGCUAAUACCGCAUAUGACCUACGGGUGAAAGCAGGGGAUCUUCGGACCUUGCGCGAUUGAAUGAGCCGAUGUUGGAUUGGCUAGUUGGCGGGGUAAAGGCCCACCAAGGCGACGAUCCGUAACUGGUCUGAGAGGAUGCUAACCCGCACUGGAGCUGAGACACGGUCCAGACUCCUACGAGAGGCACCAGUGGGGAAUAUUGGACAGUGGGCGCAAGCCUGAUCCAGCCAUACCGCGUGGGUGACGGAGGCAUUCGGGUUGUAAAGCCCUUUUGUUGGGAGAGAAAAGCAGCAGGUUAAUACCCCGCUGUUCUGACGGUACUCAAAGAAUAAGCACCGGCUAACUUCGUG